UUUGUUCCCAAACUAUCAGAGUUUACGCGCGAAAGAUGAGAAGUCGAGAGAGUGUAGAGGAGAGUGAUCUGUAAUUGCUUAAGAUGACGACCGUGUUCUUCAUUGGUUUGUGAGGUUUGGGUUGCAACUGCAGUUUAUUUUUAGUCUUACUCUUUGAAACACUUUAAAGAUAAGUGUUCCCGCAACCAAUACCUCUGACAGAGAAGAGUCUUCCUCCAAAGCUGCAAAAUCAAGAUGAAGAAGAUUUAAGUUUGAAUUAAACACAAAUAAAGGUCUUCAUAGUGAGAUUGAAGAUGAAUUUGAAUAUGCCUCCAGAAGGUGAUUUACUUCCACUACCCAAAAUGCAUAAACAAAUUGCACGAUUACAAGCAAACUUGCUUCAGGCAGCCACCAAAGGAGCCGUGAGGAUUAAGCAAAGAAAAGGCACACAUAGAGGAGUGACUUCUAGGAAUAUCUACAACCAUAACGCAAGAGCAAUCUCAAGUGAGCCUUCAAGUUCAGGGACAUAAAGCAAGUAAAAUGCCUCUUCAGGAAUAUGGUUUACUUAAAUAUGAGGGAUUGAAAUUCAAGCAACUAAAAUCUGGCCACAAGUCUUGGAACAAAGAGCACUCUGGCUGAAUUUAUACACAAAAGCUGUACCUCACAUCAGAUUUAAAGGCCAUGGAAUCCUUGGAAGAUACGGGCCCUCUUCCUCUAAAUCUUAUCGAAGAAAGAUUCAAAAUCAGGGAACAGCUUCUCUGUCUUGCAGCCAAGGAAGAAUCUUUCCAGCCCCAAAAGUUCAAAGUGAAAUGGCUUGGAGAAGGAGACGAAAAUACAAGAUUUUACCACAGAGUGCUUUGCCUCCAAGAAAAGGUAAUCCUUUCUAGAGAGGGCCAAAGUUUACUUACAGACAAUGACAUUGGGGCUGAAUUCAUAGAUUUCUAUCAGAAGCUUUAUAUAAAAGAGUGGAUCAGAGGUUUAUUCCAAAAAAUCUCCAUUGGAACCAAAUUCCCAUCGAUCUCAACCAUGAAUUGGAGAAAGAUUUUACUGAAGUAGAAGUUUACAGAGCAGUAAUGAACUCGGGUGCCAGCAAAACCCCUAGGCCAUCUGGUUUUACAGUAGAAUUUUUCAAAAAAAUCAUUGAACAUCAUCAAAGUUGAUAUUAUGGUGAUAUUAUAAGUUCUUUUUAAAAUGGGAUCAUAAACGCUAGCCUCAUCGAAGCCUAUAUAUGUCUUAUUCCCAAGAAAAAGGACGCAAAAUCAGUUCAUGACUACAGACCAUCAGCUUGAUUCCGCCUAUAAAAUUCUUGAAAGAGUUUUAUCAGAGGAUUGAAAGUGGCCUUGCCAUAUGCUAUAUCAGAUUAUCAAUCUGUCUUUGUGGAAGGAAGACAAAUACUAGAUUUGUCUCUUAUGGAGUGCCAUCCGAAAACAAAUGUACCUUAGUGAAGGAGAGAGCUCUUUGUAAAAUUGGGAGGGGUGACAAAAUUAGCUUCUGUAAUGCUUUGUGGGCAAUGGACUCUCCCUUAGCAAAGGCCUUUCCCAAAAUUUUUGCCUUGGCCUCGAACAAAAAUAUUUGGGUCUGCCAAGCUUGGUCCAAUGCGACAAGUUCGUGGACUGGGAUUACCUCUGAUGAGCGCUCCAAGAGGAGGAAAUAGUUGAAUGGAGCACCCUUGGUCACUUAUUACAUAAUUUUUCCCCUGUUUCAUCGUCAGACAAAUGGACUUGGCCAUUUGACCCAACAAAGCAGUUCACAGUUAGCUCCAUAUUUAAGGAAAUUCUGAAAGGGCCCAGUCUUCAUGAAUCUGCAUUCUACGACAUUAUCUGGAGGGAUAACUAUCCAAGGAAAAUUGAUAUUUGCUGCUGGGAGCUUACCCAAAAAGCUGUAAACAGCCAUGAUGUUAUCCAGAAAAGGCUUCCUAAUUUCUCCAUCUCUUCUAGCUCCUGUAUCGUGUGUAGAAAGGCAGAAGAAACACAGUGGCAUCUCUUUAUCUCGUGUGAUUUUGCUAACAGAUUCUGGUGCUUCCUUUUAUCCUCUUUUGAUUGGCAAUAACCCAUGCACAAUGACAUCAGUAGUAUGCUUUAACAUUUUAUGGGAGGGCACCCAUUCAAAGACAACAAAGAAGUUCUUUGGAAUUACCUCAUCAAGGCUUUUCUGUGGAAUCUUUGGAAGGAAAGAAACGACAGAAUCUUCAAUGACAAUUUCCAGCCUUACAACUGAUUUUUGGAUGGAGUUUUGUUUUUGGCUCUUAGCUGGUGCAAAUGCUUUGUAUCUUCCUUCUCUUCUUAUAGAUUAAAUGACCCUUCGAUGAAAUGGUGGACUUUUUUGUAACCUUUCUUGGGGUUUCCCCUCUCUUUUGUAGGUUUCAUAUCAUCAAUAAAAUAUUCUGUUUCUCAUAAA
This is a non-coding RNA of Momordica charantia (bitter melon), 2376 nucleotides long. The record is from RefSeq and is a predicted model, not a curated record. NCBI's taxonomy places the organism in Eukaryota, Viridiplantae, Streptophyta, Magnoliopsida, Cucurbitales, Cucurbitaceae.